This 534-nucleotide ribosomal RNA is filed under the name uncultured Pelagibacterales bacterium. RNAcentral describes it as "bacterial SSU rRNA". It matches the Rfam family "Bacterial small subunit ribosomal RNA", at positions 90 to 659 of the family's 1533-position model. Lineage: Bacteria; Pseudomonadati; Pseudomonadota; Alphaproteobacteria; Candidatus Pelagibacterales. The record is from RNAcentral.
ACUGAGUGGCAAACGGGUGAGUAUAAUGUGGGAAUCUGCCUUUUGGUUUGGAAUAACACGGGGAAACUUGUGCUAAUACCGAAUAAGCCCUUACGGGGAAAGUUUUAAUGCCAAAAGAUGAGCCCGCACUUGAUUAGCUAGUUGGUAAGGUAAAAGCUUACCAAGGCAAUGAUCAAUAGCUGUUCUUAGAGGAAGACCAGCCACAUUGGGACUGAGACACGGCCCAGACUCCUACGGGAGGCAGCAGUGGGGAAUCUUGCACAAUGGGGGAAACCCUGAUGCAGCGAUGCCGCGUGAGUGAAGAAGGCCUUUGGGUUGUAAAACUCUUUCGUCGGGGAAGAAAAUGACUGUACCCGAAUAAGAAGGUCCGGCUAACUUCGUGCCAGCAGCCGCGGUAAUACGAAGGGACCUAGCGUAGUUCGGAAUUACUGGGCUUAAAGAGCUCGUAGGUGGUUAAAAAAGUUGAUGGUGAAAUCCCAAGGCUCAACCUUGGAACUGCCAUCAAAACUUUUUAGCUAGAGUGUGAUAGAGGUA